CGCAGCCAGCUGCGAUACGUAGUGCGAAUUGCAGACACAUUGAGCACUAAAAUUUCGAACGCACAUUGCGCCAUCGGGUUCAUUCCCGUUGGCACGUCUGGCUGAGGGUCGAAUUGCUAACUACAACGUACGUGCGGUUGGCACGUUCUGUCGGUGCGCUAGCCACUGCUGUGGCUACCGUACUCAGGGAAAAUUGUGCAAUGGUGGUACACUCCGGUGUGCGGUCGUGCGCUUGGGCCUACAUGUGUGCGUAUGUGUGCGUACUUGUACACGAACGCAUCAUAUAUAGGCGCGACCUCCACCAGCAAUGCGAGCAGUAUGCGACGACGUACGUUCGUCGACCUGCGAGGUGCACCCGAGAGCUACUGGGGAGCACGUGUAGCAGCGUCGAUGUGCGCUUGAAUGAACGUACGUACCGGGCGAUGCUCUCGGUCCGAAUGCGCUUUUGACCUCAGCUCAGUCGUGAGUACCCGCUGAAUUUAAGCAUAUAACUA
RNAcentral lists this ribosomal RNA (494 nucleotides) under Cucullanus bourdini. RNAcentral's name for it is "eukaryotic LSU rRNA". The stretch from base 1 to 111 matches the Rfam family "5.8S ribosomal RNA", at positions 44 to 154 of the family's 154-position model. The record is from RNAcentral. Lineage: Eukaryota; Metazoa; Nematoda; Chromadorea; Rhabditida; Cucullanidae.